RNAcentral lists this long non-coding RNA (580 nucleotides) under Androctonus crassicauda. Lineage: Eukaryota; Metazoa; Arthropoda; Arachnida; Scorpiones; Buthidae. The record is from RNAcentral.
GAAUCAGUGCCAGAUAAUAUCAAUGUAAUUCAUCUUUAAUCAAUUAGUGUAAGAUAUAUAUAUAUCCAUGCUAUUGAUCAGAUUAAACGAAUAUAUCACACCAUAAAAAAAUAGCUAUUGAUUUUGUCUUCUAGUGAUGGAUAGUAAAUACAUAUCAUAAUAAGAAUACCAACAUAAUUUGAUCGCUAUAUUAAGUUAGAUACAAUCAGAAAAUGAAUACUUGCAGCGCAUUUAAAUAGAUUUACAUUGAAAUUGUCAUGGUUAGUCUAUUUCCAAUGGGAAUUCGUUAUUCAUUUAUGUAUUAUAAACAAUAAUAAUAGGACAGUUAAUCACAACACAAGGAGACUAAAUGAGAGAAAUUCAGCAUAGGAUGCAGUUGGGAUGGCUUGCAUGCGGCCAACACAGUAAUUUUCUAAAGGACAAUAGGAUACCGAUAUGCAAUAAGAAGAAACUUUUCAACAUGUGCACAUUACUAGUAAUGAUGUAUAGCUGUGAAAUGUGGACCCUUACAAAGAAAAUGGCACAAAAAUUAGCAAUACUCCAAAAAAAACAUGGAAAAAUACAUGUUAGAAUUCACCAG